GACGAACGCUGGCGGCGUGCUUAACACAUGCGAGUCGAACGGUAAGGCCCUUCGGGGUACACGAGUGGCGAACGGGUGAGUAACACGUGGGUGAUCUGCCCUGCACUUCGGGAUAAGCCUGGGAGACUGGGUCUAAUACCGGAUAGGACCACUGCCUGCAUGGGCGGUGGUGGAAAGCUUUUGCGGUGUGGGAUGGGCCCGCGGCCUAGCAGCUUGUUUGUGGGGUGAUGGCCUACCAAGGCGACGACGGGUAGCCGGCCUGAGAGGGUGACCGGCCACACUGGGACUGAGAUACGGCCCAGACUCCUACGGGAGGCAGCAGUGGGGGAUAUUGCACAAUGGGCGCAAGCCUGAUGCAGCGACGCCGCGUGAGGGAUGACGGCCUUCGGGUUGUAAACCUCUUUCAGCACCGACGAAGCGCAAGUGACGGUAGGUGCAGAAGAAGGACCGGCCAACUACGUGCCAGCCGCCGCGGUAA
This 478-nucleotide ribosomal RNA is filed under the name uncultured bacterium. Its description in RNAcentral is "partial 16S ribosomal RNA". It matches the Rfam family "Bacterial small subunit ribosomal RNA", at positions 28 to 523 of the family's 1533-position model. The record is from RNAcentral.